UUUUGGACAAUGGGGGCAACCCUGAUCCAGCCAUGCCGCGUGGGUGAAGAAGGCCUUCGGGUUGUAAAGCCCUUUCGGCGGGGACGAAAUCGCGGGGGUGAGAAGCCUUCGUGGAUGACGGUACUCGCAGAAGAAGCACCGGCUAACUACGUGCCAGCAGCCGCGGUAAUACGUAGGGUGCGAGCGUUAAUCGGAAUUACUGGGCGUAAAGCGUGCGCAGGCGGUUAUAUAAGACAGUUGUGAAAUCCCCGGGCUCAACCUGGGAAUUGCAUCUGUGACUGUAUAGCUAGAGUACGGUAGAGGGGGAUGGAAUUCCGCGUGUAGCAGUGAAAUGCGUAGAUAUGCGGAGGAACACCGAUGGCGAAGGCAAUCCCCUGGACCUGUACUGACGCUCAUGCACGAAA
RNAcentral lists this ribosomal RNA (404 nucleotides) under uncultured bacterium. RNAcentral describes it as "bacterial SSU rRNA". It matches the Rfam family "Bacterial small subunit ribosomal RNA", at positions 362 to 758 of the family's 1533-position model. The record is from RNAcentral.